GAUGAACGCUGGCGGCGUGCCUAACACAUGCAAGUCGAACGAAGCAUAGAAGACGGAGAUUCGUCAAAGCCUUCUAUGACUUAGUGGCGGACGGGUGAGUAAUGUAUGAGCAACCUGCCUUUCAGAGGGGGACAACAGUUGGAAACGACUGCUAAUACCGCAUAAGACCACAGUGCCGCAUGGCACAGGGGUAAAAACUCCGGUGGUACAGGAUGGACCCGCGUCCAAUUAGCUAGUUGGUGAGGUAACGGCCCACCAAGGCGACGAUUGGUAGCCGAUCUGAGAGGAUGACCGGCCACAUUGGGACUGAGACACGGCCCAAACUCC
This 327-nucleotide ribosomal RNA is filed under the name uncultured Moryella sp. RNAcentral describes it as "bacterial SSU rRNA". It matches the Rfam family "Bacterial small subunit ribosomal RNA", at positions 28 to 339 of the family's 1533-position model. The record is from RNAcentral. Lineage: Bacteria; Bacillati; Bacillota; Clostridia; Lachnospirales; Lachnospiraceae.